Molecule: ribosomal RNA, 527 nt
Filed under: uncultured bacterium
Lineage: Bacteria
Description: bacterial SSU rRNA
Rfam family: Bacterial small subunit ribosomal RNA
Source: RNAcentral
CAAUGGACGAAAGUCUGACGGAGCAACGCCGCGUGAGUGAUGAAGGCUUUCGGGUCGUAAAACUCUGUUGUCAGGGAAGAACAAGUGCUAGUUGAAUAAGCUGGCACCUUGACGGUACCUAACCAGAAAGCCACGGCUAACUACGUGCCAGCAGCCGCGGUAAUACGUAGGUGGCAAGCGUUAUCCGGAAUUAUUGGGCGUAAAGCGCGCGCAGGUGGUUUCUUAAGUCUGAUGUGAAAGCCCACGGCUCAACCGUGGAGGGUCAUUGGAAACUGGGAGACUUGAGUGCAGAAGAGGAAAGUGGAAUUCCAUGUGUAGCGGUGAAAUGCGUAGAGAUAUGGAGGAACACCAGUGGCGAAGGCGACUUUCUGGUCUGUAACUGACACUGAGGCGCGAAAGCGUGGGGAGCAAACAGGAUUAGAUACCCUGGUAGUCCACGCCGUAAACGAUGAGUGCUAAGUGUUAGAGGGUUUCCGCCCUUUAGUGCUGAAGUUAACGCAUUAAGCACUCCGCCUGGGGAGUACGGC